RNAcentral lists this transfer RNA (87 nucleotides) under Candidatus Zhuqueibacterota bacterium. RNAcentral describes it as "candidate division KSB1 bacterium (microbial mat metagenome) tRNA-Leu". It matches the Rfam family "tRNA". Rfam says of the family: Transfer RNA (tRNA) molecules are approximately 80 nucleotides in length. Their secondary structure includes four short double-helical elements and three loops (D, anti-codon, and T loops). The record is from RNAcentral. Lineage: Bacteria; Pseudomonadati.
GCCGGGGUGGCGAAAUUGGGAGACGCAAGGGACUUAAAAUCCCUCGGACUUUUUAAGUCCGUGCCGGUUCGACUCCGGCCCUCGGCA